This 399-nucleotide ribosomal RNA is filed under the name uncultured bacterium. RNAcentral's name for it is "bacterial SSU rRNA". It matches the Rfam family "Bacterial small subunit ribosomal RNA", at positions 355 to 771 of the family's 1533-position model. The record is from RNAcentral.
UGGGGAAUAUUGGACAAUGGGGGCAACCCUGAUCCAGCCAUGCCGCGUGAGUGAUGAAGGCCUUCGGGUUGUAAAGCUCUUUUGGCGGGGACGAUGAUGACGGUACCCGCAGAAUAAGCCCCGGCUAACUUCGUGCCAGCAGCCGCGGUAAGACGAAGGGGGCUAGCGUUGUUCGGAAUUACUGGGCGUAAAGCGAGUGUAGGUGGUUGUCAUAGUCAGGUGUGAAAGCCUUGAGCUCAACUCAAGAAAUGCACUUGAUACUGGGCGACUAGAGGACCGGAGAGGAUAGUGGAAUUCCCAGUGUAGUGGUGAAAUACGUAGAGAUUGGGAAGAACACCAGUGGCGAAGGCGGCUAUCUGGACGGUUUCUGACACUAAGACUCGAAAGCGUGGGGAGCAA